ACAUGUGCUGCUUUGCAAGAAUACACAGCUUACAAAACUUCAGCUUUUGUGAAGUGAUGUGCAGACUAGCAACCAUGCCUGAAUGUAUAAGCUUUUUGAUGUCCUGAUAGUGUGUCCAAGCUGUUGAUGCCAGGUCUGGAGGUCAACAGGAUGCUGGGAUCCCACAUAAAGAAGGGUUGAGUAGGGAAUUCCAAUUCUACAUUGAGCCAGUAGAGACCAGCGUGAUGCCUCCCACUAGCAAUAACACUCUCAUUCUUCAGAAUCAAGCAUUGCAUAAGAGCUCCAUGUUGCAAUCAACGACCUUACCAACCGAGAAGAGGGAUUUCUUGAUGCCAGGGACAUGCUAUGGCAGCCACAACCUUCCCAUAAGUAAAGGGGACUUUGAUGGUGCCUAUGCCACACAUGCUGUGGGAGUAGUCAUCACUAUGCUUACCCUCUGGAAUCACGUCCAAGCAACUGAAGAGUUCCUGGAUGUGUGUUGGCGCUACUGUCAAGCCAAAAAGCUCUCAUUGAUUGGGAAACUCAAG
This 527-nucleotide long non-coding RNA is filed under the name Selaginella moellendorffii. RNAcentral describes it as "long non-coding RNA (SMOE_LNC002196)". Lineage: Eukaryota; Viridiplantae; Streptophyta; Lycopodiopsida; Selaginellales; Selaginellaceae. The record is from RNAcentral.